UACAGGGGGUGCAAGCGUUGCUCGGAAUUAUUGGGCGUAAAGCGCGCGUAGGCGGCUAUCUAAGUCGGAUGUGAAAGCCCCUGGCUUAACUGGGGAAGUGCACCCGAAACUGGGUAGCUAGAGUGCGAAAGAGGGUCGCGGAAUUCCCGGUGUAGAGGUGAAAUUCGUAGAUAUCGGGAGGAACACCGGUGGCGAAGGCGGGUCUCUGGGCCGAAAUUGACGCUGAGGAGCGAAAGCGUGGGGAGCAAACAGG
RNAcentral lists this ribosomal RNA (253 nucleotides) under uncultured bacterium. RNAcentral's name for it is "partial 16S ribosomal RNA". It matches the Rfam family "Bacterial small subunit ribosomal RNA", at positions 524 to 776 of the family's 1533-position model. The record is from RNAcentral.